Molecule: ribosomal RNA, 1210 nt
Filed under: metagenome
Description: bacterial SSU rRNA
Rfam family: Bacterial small subunit ribosomal RNA
Source: RNAcentral
AGUAGUGGGGGAUAGCCCGGCGAAAGCCGGAUUAAUACCGCAUACGACCUACGGGUGAAAGCGGGGGAUCGCAAGACCUCGCGCUAUUGGAGCGGCCGAUGUCAGAUUAGCUAGUUGGUGGGGUAAAAGCCUACCAAGGCGACGAUCUGUAGCUGGUCUGAGAGGACGACCAGCCACACUGGGACUGAGACACGGCCCAGACUCCUACGGGAGGCAGCAGUGGGGAAUUUUGGACAAUGGGGGCAACCCUGAUCCAGCCAUGCCGCGUGCGGGAAGAAGGCCUUCGGGUUGUAAACCGCUUUUGUCAGGGAAGAAACGGUCUGCGCUAAUACCGCGGACUAAUGACGGUACCUGAAGAAUGAGCACCGGCUAACUACGUGCCAGCAGCCGCGGUAAUACGUAGGGUGCAAGCGUUAAUCGGAAUUACUGGGCGUAAAGCGUGCGCAGGCGGCUUUGCAAGACAGAUGUGAAAUCCCCGGGCUCAACCUGGGAACUGCAUUUGUGACUGCAUGGCUGGAGUGCGGCAGAGGGGGAUGGAAUUCCGCGUGUAGCAGUGAAAUGCGUAGAUAUGCGGAGGAACACCGAUGGCGAAGGCAAUCCCCUGGGCCUGCACUGACGCUCAUGCACGAAAGCGUGGGGAGCAAACAGGAUUAGAUACCCUGGUAGUCCACGCCCUAAACGAUGUCAACUGGUUGUUGGACGGCUUGCUGUUCAGUAACGAAGCUAACGCGUGAAGUUGACCGCCUGGGGAGUACGGCCGCAAGGUUGAAACUCAAAUGAAUUGACGGGGACCCGCACAAGCGGUGGAUGAUGUGGUUUAAUUCGAUGCAACGCGAAAAACCUUACCUACCCUUGACAUGUCUAGAAGUUUCCAGAGAUGGAUUCGUGCUCGAAAGAGAACUAGAACACAGGUGCUGCAUGGCCGUCGUCAGCUCGUGUCGUGAGAUGUUGGGUUAAGUCCCGCAACGAGCGCAACCCUUAUCAUUAGUUGCUACGCAAGGGCACUCUAAUGAGACUGCCGGUGACAAACCGGAGGAAGGUGGGGAUGACGUCAGGUCAUCAUGGCCCUUAUGGGUAGGGCUACACACGUCAUACAAUGGCCGGUACAGAGGGCUGCCAACCCGCGAGGGGGAGCUAAUCUCAGAAAACCGGUCGUAGUCCGGAUCGCAGUCUGCAACUCGACUGCGUGAAGUCGGAAUCGCUAGUAAUC